GGCCCUUUGAGAAAGAGCACACCAUCUCGGCAGACGUGUGCAGUGUAUCUGAGUGAAUGGAUGGUACAUACGUUUCAAUGUUUAUUAAUAUCAUUAAAUGUAUAUACUGCUUAAUUGGCAAGGUGGCUUCUGAGCAGUUCACACGAAUAAAAAUAAACCUUCACAAUUAAAAUGGAGCAACAAAACAAACCUAUUAACACAGCACAGCAAUUAAAACUGUCAAGCCAGCGAUUAAGGCAAGUAAAAUAGGAGGUUCAAUCAGGAGACUGCUUAUGUAAGGAGGUGUCUCUUUAAAAGCUGGUGGAAUGCCAGUACUGAAUAUGACUCCCAGUAUGUCAAUACUACCUUGGCAAGAGAGAAGACUAGGAGUUUCUUUGACAUACCCAUCUGUUAUGGAUGCUUUGGUUUAGAUUCCUGCAUUGCAGGGGGUUGGACAAGAUGACCCUUGAGAUCCCUUCCAGCUCUACAAUUCUAUGAUUCGAUAUCAUCUUUGCAUGUGCAGGGAGUGGGGCAGGACAAGGGUAGCGGGGCAAAGUCCCAAGGCACAAGCAGAAAUCCUUGUACUGAUGGGAUAAUUGCUUAGCAUUGCAUUGGAUACAAGCUUUGGUACAUCACAGAAAAGACCAGCUAGCUAGAAUACUUAACCCUCAUGUGCGUACCUCCCACUUGCAGGAAGGGUUUUUCUGAGAAGGGUUGAAAUCUGACACCUCCGGUUCUGUAAUCUGAGAUGGAACAGGCUGCCGGCUCUGUAGAUCUGCUUUUAGUGUCCCCCCCAAAGGAAGAGGAAUUGGGAACAGCAGAGCUCUGCAACAUCCAAUAUCUUGCCUUUGUACUCUGGUUAAAUAUAAUUGCUAUUUUCAUUGACACCUCAUAGCAAGUAGGUCAUUGUUUCUAGUGGAAAUUCUGGCACGCAGGACAAGGUUAAUUGUGCUGUGCAUCAAAAUGCAUUAAGCAGCCUGGCAUUAUCUUUUGAGACAAUGACGCCACUAUUGCCGUUCGUCAGCACAGCUGCUUAUUUCAGGCAUUGCUUUACUCAAGAUAGCAAAAACUAAAAGACAGCGUGGAAGCGAUAGAGAAACCUGAACUUUUGCAGACACGACACCAAAUAAACUGCAGCUUUCAGAUGUCAGUGAAGGGGCUGACUGCCAGGCGUACAUAACCCACUGGUGUAAAUCGGAGACAUUUAAAUGCGGUAAAUCUUACUCCAGGAAAGGGUUUAACUCAAAAGCGAAUCCAGUCACUGCUUACAAACCUCAGUACAGUAGCAGGCCAUUUGCAGUUCACUGCCUUAUGCAGCUUGGACUAGUGUACUGUUUAUCUCCACUAUAUUUACCCUUUCUGGCCAAGUACUUACACUUAUUUAUGCCACUGGUCAGUGAUAGAUGUUGGACUGUUCCUUAGUCUUCCUUCAUUCUAGUAUUAGCCCAUUUUAACUGGUCUAAUUACUUUUUGUUGUUGAUGUUAAUCUGUCUCCUGCUUGUUUUCUUUCCCACGCUGAGGAUUAGUGUUAGUAUUAUUAUAUGGCUACAGGGCAUCAGCAGCAUGCAUGUAAAUAUAGUCCUUGAGACUGCUGUAACUGGAGUCAGUAAGCUUUCUCUAGAUGGUUUCCCUCCCUAAUCUAUGACUUUGAUUAUAAUGUAGCUUAGUACUUAAAUGUGACAUUCCCUUGCAUAGUCCAAAAUUGUGAGCAGAAAAUGAACAGGCCACUUCUAUCAUCCCAUAUCCUCCUUCCAGUCUAAAGAACAUUGACACAGUCCAGUUACACCACGUGAGCCGAGAGCACAGAUGGGACAUGCAUUGCCCCAUCUUUACAAUGACAGAAGGAUGCAACGGAUACUGUGUUAAACAUUGCUGGUCUCCAUUUAGUUCAUUUGGAUUUGUUCAGCACUGCCUUGCAAGAACCACUUAUUCCUGGGCAUUGUUGCACAGUGCUGAUAGUAGAUGAAUUCAUCCUGCAGUUUUCUGCACAAUUCAUGCUACGAUUUGCUGCUGUGAACAAAUACGUUUGACUACAAGGCAUCACUCCUACAAAAUGGCAAAGAUUCAAAUUUUCAAUUUUAUUACUUUAAACAUUUUUCACUAAACUGAGCUUUAAGAGUUAUCAACUGCAACAUCUGAGAUUUUUAAAAGGUUGUGUCCAAGAUAUUGUUGUUAACUAUAUUAAUUUAAAGCAUGUUUGCUUUGCUCCACAUCUGAAAGCUCUCAGACCAGCUUACAAAUCUAUAAAAAGACAGUCUCUGCUUGUAUGUAGGCUUACAAUCUUAAAAGACAUGACAUGAAAGGAAAAAGGGCUAGGGAAGGAGGAGGGGUUUUAAAAAAGAGAACUCAUGCCUCGUUCUUAAAGGAGGCAUGUAUUAUUUCACAACACAGCAAUUCAGUUUUGCAUCAUUUCGCGACACAGUAAUUCAGUUUUACUAGCAAAUCAGAGGUUAAACUCAAAGCUAUCCAGCCCUGGGAGGAGAGUGGGCAGCAUUUGCACAAGACACCUACACACUGCAGCUGACACACUAAGGUGGCACGACCAGUGCUUUUUUCUAAAAAGAUGUUUAGGGGUACUCUCAUUUUCCUACUCAUAUUGAAAUACUGCCAAACUUAGAUUCACAAAAUGUUUAGGGGUAUGCGUACGCAUGCCUCCCCCCAGAAAAAAAAGCACUGGAAAGCUCUGCUGUAAACCCUACACAAAUUUGGAGUCCCUAAGACGGUUGGAUGGCACCUUGUAUGCCUCCUUCCAGCCAAGCUGGUGCCAAAAGUAUUGCUCUGCUUUCUUUUGGACCACAUCAGUGAGGCCAAGAGGGAGGUCUUGUCAUUUUGGGCAGCCCAAGAACUCCAUACACACCACCAGGCUUGCACCCCAGAGUGGUCACAUCAGUGCUGCUAACGCAACAGUUUAAUUUCACCCCUGGAAGCGCAUCCCAUUGUCUCUUGAGACAGAUGGAUACCAGCAACAACAGUAUUCUGUGCUUGCUGUGCAUGUUGCAUAUAUGAUGUCUGCCAAAACAAUCAAGAGGUGACAAUGAAACUAAAAUACUACUAGAAUUUCAAGACUGGAGGGAUAUAUAUUCAUAAGUACAAAUUUGAAUGUAGAAUGAAACAUAUUGCUUUCAGUAUUUGAGUGAUGAAACUCGACAUUUUGAUCAUUUUUUAAAGAAACAUUUGGCCCAGCUCUUGAAUUUGAUGUAUUUUAGAAUGUUUUAGAUUAUUAUUUCUUAGAAACAAUUGUUAACCAGUCACCCUAAGUCUGAGUGAUAAAGGAGUUGGGAAGUAAGUUACCUUUGCUCAGAAAGAGCCCUUUGGUUUUGAUGUGGAAACUCUGAUGGCCCUUUGAAGCACGAGAAAUGGGGGUUUGUUUGGUUGCUCAUGAAAGGUAAAAAGAAAAAGUAGCCAUGUGCUUUGAAAAUGGUUGGGCUUCCUGCCUCCCUCCCCACCCCACCCCCACUCUGCAACAGGUCAGGUCUGGCCACAUUUCAAACAAAUGCUGUUAUCUCACGCUUUGGAGAGAUCUUGACUGUACAAAACAAUUUGCUAUUAUCUGACCUGAUGGACUGCAGUUGCAUGGAAAAACAGAGAUUGUUGUGGUGAUGUUUUUACUGUGCACGUAUUGUAUUGUAUUGUAUUGUAUUGUAUUGUACUUUCUGGAGUUUAGAACCUAACAUAAAAUAACAGAAAUGUGCAAGUCUUUUGAAAUGCUCAAGCUAUACAUUGGGCCUCUGUUUAGGAGAAACAGUCCUGCCCCCCCAUGUGAAUUUUCUGCUCAGUUUUCCACUUCUGUUCAGCACAGGGCAUUUCCGAAUGACUGGUUUUGUUUUAGGAUUUAUCCUGGUUUAUUUGUAGAGAAAUUAGAUGGCGCUGAGUAUUUAGUGAGUAUUAAUCCUGAUUUGUUUGCUGGGAGGUUAGAUGUUUCUGUAACAAAGCAAGUGUUGUCCCACACUUCCUGGUGAAUUUUCUUGCCUCUUUCAUUAUCACAAAAAGUCCUUUGUUUUGGAGGUCUCUGCAUCUUGCACUUAGGAAGGGGCUUGCUGCCAUUUGCAGGACUCUUGUCUGUCUGGCAUCACAUUGCAUCCUACCCUUACCCCAAGAAGCUCAAGGUGUUGCAACCCUCCAGACAUUGUUGGACUCCAUCUCCCAUGAGUCCCAGUUGGCAUAGCCAAUGGUCAGAAAUGAUGGGAGUUGUAGUCCAACAAAAUCUGGCAUAGUGAAGGCCCACUAUUGGCAUAUCAGGUUACUCCAAUUUACACUCAUGACAGCCUGCUAAAAUAGGCUAGGUUUAGACAGUGACUUUCCCAAUGCCACAUUCUAAGCUAGAUAUCUGAGCUGGAAUUUGAACUCUGCUCUUUCUGAUCUGGCACUGACAGUCUGUCAGUCCCUCUACAGUAUGCAGGAUCCUUUUUAGGUUGGCUACAGUUCCACCCCCCCGCCUCCCUCGCCAUGGCCCUUAACUUUGCAGCCACUACCAGUGAUGGUAUCAGGGCAGGACUUUGAGGCAAAAUUCCAGCAGAAUGAGCAGGGGAUUCCGAACCCCAGCCACAUUUUGAAGUAACACACAUCACCAUGUAAGAUGUUUUUACUGCGCACAGAUUGUAGUUUCUGGAGUUUAGAACUUAACAUAAAACAACAGAAAUGUGCAAGUCUUUUCAAAUGCUCAAGCUAUACAUUGGGCCUCUUUUUAGGAGAAACAGCUCCUCCCCUCCCCACGCAGUGUAAGUCCUUUGCUCCUAUGGAUCUGGGGCCUAACUUUGACAAGUGGUAGUGACAAGGUUCUUCACAUCAUUUCUACAACAUAAGUGGCACAACUGCCAAGGAAAAAAAGGAGCCCAGCCUCCACUAGAUGGCACAAUCCAUGUUCUUUCAGAACAUUAGAAUGUGUACCUAA
RNAcentral lists this long non-coding RNA (4870 nucleotides) under Podarcis lilfordi (Lilford's wall lizard). Lineage: Eukaryota; Metazoa; Chordata; Lepidosauria; Squamata; Lacertidae. The record is from RNAcentral.